AAGCCUGUAAUUAUGUCUUUGUUUGGUGCUUUUUUCUGUAUGCAGAUGUCCAGAAUAUACCUGAUGUGGUUCAACCUGCACCGGUGCAUCAGCAGACCGGUGGCACUAUCACAACAGAAGUGCCAUGUUUAAAUGAAGAGUGUAUAAGCAUCACUACAUCAACAUCUACAGAUACUGUUCCAGUGGCAGACACAAUGCCAACUGUAGAAACAGUUUCGCCUGUAGAUAGUGUCUCAGCUGCAGAUGAGGUUCCAGCUCCAACUCAAGCUCCAACAUCCAUCAGUGAAGUGCAGCAGGACAAGGACACAAUGAUGAUUACAUGUUACUUCUGGUUGAGGAAAUCCACCCGACUCAGGCUAACAAGAUCACCUGGAUGCUUUUGGAGGGUGUGAACAAUUUUGAGAUCAUGGACAUGAUUGGAUAUCCUGAGCUCCUGCGUACCAGGGACAUGCUCCUGAAGGCCAGGGAAGCUGGUUACAAGCAGGAAACCCUGUAUAUGUUAUUUAACAAGAAGAAGAAGAACAAGAACAAGAAAAGAAAGAAUCAAUAAACACUGCAACUAGUAUUGCACAUAUUAUUAAGUAAUUUGGGUCUUGAUUAUUGUCUUUUAUUUAGAAUUUAAAGAUUGUAAAUAAAUUAGCUCCAGAGUGUUAAAAUCUUAAGUAUUAACUGAGAAGAAUUAACGUCGCAGAGUCAAAACUCAGAGAUUAAGUUGUAAAAGGCUGAGUUAGAUAAAGAACAGAGGUUUGACCUGAUUGCUGAGACUUCGUCAGAAAAGGGGGAAUAUUCUUCAAAUAGUGUCUUGUCAAAUCUGAGAAUAACUUCUCUAAUAGACCAUGAGCACCCUAGUUAUCUCAGAAAUCUCCAUCCAUCCAUCCAUCUUCUACCGCUUACUCCUUCUUCAGGGUCGUAGCUCAGAAAUCUGAAAUGAUCUUAAAUCUGAAUGUACAUAACAUUAU
Ictalurus furcatus (blue catfish) is the source of this 959-nucleotide long non-coding RNA. RefSeq lists it as uncharacterized. Lineage: Eukaryota; Metazoa; Chordata; Actinopteri; Siluriformes; Ictaluridae. The record is from RefSeq and is a predicted model, not a curated record. The transcript is spliced from 4 exons.